This 261-nucleotide ribosomal RNA is filed under the name Triticum aestivum (bread wheat). RNAcentral describes it as "partial small subunit ribosomal RNA". The record is from RNAcentral. Lineage: Eukaryota; Viridiplantae; Streptophyta; Magnoliopsida; Poales; Poaceae.
AUGACCCGAGUGAAGAGUAGCUACUACGUACUGCCUGGAGAAGAAGAACCAAACCGAACUGUGCACAAUACUCAUAGCAUUGGGAAGGUAAUGUUUCUAACAGCUGUAGCCAAACCUCGCUACAAUGAAGAUGGGGAGAUGACAUUUGAUGGAAAACUUGGCAUUUGGCUGUUCGUGGUACAGACCGAGGCACAACGAACAAGCCAGAACAGAGAUAGGGGGACAAUAGAGUUGAAGCCGGUCAAAGUUACUAGACCUGUG